Non-coding RNA from Hymenopellis radicata, 91 nucleotides. The record is from the annotation of a GenBank genome assembly. Lineage: Eukaryota; Fungi; Basidiomycota; Agaricomycetes; Agaricales; Physalacriaceae.
GCAUUAAUGGGGUAGUGGUAACCUGGGUCGUUGCCAUCCAUGAAAGAGUGCUUCUCUCGACCCGCCGGGGGUUCGAUUCCCCCUUAAUGCA